UGCCUUCUGUGUUGGAGAUUUGACUUAUGU
This 30-nucleotide non-coding RNA is filed under the name Mus musculus (house mouse). Lineage: Eukaryota; Metazoa; Chordata; Mammalia; Rodentia; Muridae. The record is from RNAcentral.